CAAAGGCCUGGGAAAAAGCUACCCCUGCAGCCAGCACCGCUCUCCUAGCCCUGUGCAGGCACUUAGUGUGGAAAUGAGUGUCUGUCUGCUGUGAAAUUGCCCUUGGAAUAGCUUAUUCACAAGCCCAAACCUGGUAAUGCAGUGGAUUCCUUUAUAGCCAACGCUCCUUCACAGCAAUACCUGGUAAGAGCAACAAACCCUGACCCGCUGUGUUUCCCCUGGAAAUGUUUUCUGUACCAUGUAUUACAAGGGUGCUCCCUAUAACAGCAAGAGUCACUUAGGAGUCUCAGAAUUGCAGAACACCAAUAUGUUACUAAUGUGUCAGUUAUCUUACUUUGAUACGCUCUUCCUAAGACAUCAGUACACAAGUGGUCUUGCAUGCUGGCGUGUUCAUGAUUAAAAAUGAUCACAACAACAACCCAGAUACUGCAGCAACAAGUGUGUACGCAACUCGGACCUGGAAGGUUUCUCUGUGGUGUUAGACAUACAACCACAUCACAGAAUACCAACGUGAGAUCACAGCCCAAGCAAACCACUAGAGUUUAGGCAGAUGCACAAACACAGCACCAAGCAGACAACCCUUUGACAGGCUAGAGAUCUAAUUAGUAUAAUUCCAUAAACAAUGGUUAUAGCUGCUGCUGGUCUGUCUCACUUGAUCGUGUGGGUGUGUAUUUGUACCGGAGAAACACAAAGAGUGUGCUUAUAUGGGCUGGCACUUUUGCUUCCCAGCUAGCAGCCCAGUGGGAGAGCAGUGGGGGGAAGGGAGGGGAUGAAAAACCUAUUUUCUUUCCUUUCCUUGGGGAGUGCAAAAUAAUUUUAAAAAAUCCUCUGCUUGGCAUCAUUAGCCUCCUGCAUAUCUCUUCCUACUAGAAAAAAAAUUUAGUACGCUGGAAAAAACAGUGCUCGACUGUUCUGACAGUACAAUAACACUUAAUGCCUCUGCUGUUUGGUCCAAUAUUGUAUCACAGGCAUCACCCUCUGUUGUGUUUCCCAGCAUGCCCUAGCAUUCCUUCAAACAAGUAUUCACUUUAGCAGAAAGUCCAAGAAAAGGCUUGCUCCCUUGAGGAUCAAGAAGAAAGAAACAGCUAAGAAAGGACCGACAGCAGCACGAAGAAUACAGAAUCCAGAUAAAGAGGGAAAUGAGGAGGUGGAGGUGAGCAGGAGACAGCUAAGAAAACUGCACAGGCAGUGGGGAAUUUUUUUUUUUCCCUGCCUAGACACACACGGACAAAGAGGCAGCAACUGGGCCAUCUGCAUCUUAUCUGAAACACAAAUAAAGGACAGAGCUGAGACAAAAAGGAAAUCCACCCAGGGGCUGCUUGUUUUGGCUCUCACAUCAGUGAUGUGCAGGUUGAAUGCCUGCUGUGCGAGGAGAAGAGAGCUACUGAAGGUAUUGUUGCAUUUUAGGAGAAGCAACAGCUAGGGAGCAUGCGAAUCCUCGUGCCUGGGUUUUUCUGUCCUACUGACACAGAGAAAAGGCAACAAAUUGCAUCUGAAUGAGGCUGCUAACAAGGAAAAAUGGAAAUACCUAAAGGCCUAUUCUAGUUCUGCCUUUGUCUCGGGUGCUUUGUAAUUACCCCAUCACAAUCCCACUAUAUUGCACUGUAGAGCUGGCUGGGAAUUUUAUAACUAAACUUUUUGGGGGGAAGGUGAGGCAAUCAAAGCAGAAACUUUUUUCCAUGAAUCUACCAGUUCCUAUGAAACUUUUCUUGGGAAAGGUGACUUGGGUCUAGGAUAGAAGGUCUGCCCAGAAAUGAGGAGACGAAAACCUCCAGUAAUUACAGGCAGUUGAUCAUCCUAGCCACCAAGGGAUUGGCUAACGGGCUUUCUCACAAGCUUUAAAGGCCUUGCUGUGGUCUCUGUAUGGAAUGGGAAGAGUUUUACAGGACAGGAAAACUGUAUGCAACCCAGCACCACUGGAUGGCACAGAGAGGAUAUUGUGGUUUUAAAAUACGUGUAUGUAUGCAUACAGCCGACAGCAAAACGUUCACUGGUGUAACCGAAGACAGGAACCGUCAGCCUUUAUGCCACAUUUAUCUCGGAUGCAGCUCUGCUGGCCAGAGCAUAAAUUUUAAUCUUUCUGCUCUCAGCAUCACCAGUGCCGCUGCUCUCCAUUUACCCGGGCGUAACUAAAAGUCUGAGCCAAAGUCUAUGGGAAUGUUUCCAUUUCCCUCAAUUGGCUUCAGUGCAGUGCAGAAAUUAGCCGUGUAUCUGCUCUCUUGUAUGACUUCCAGUCAGAGCAAGCUGGCUUAGCUAACUCUAACAAAGCGAGCAAGCUGCCCUCUGUUUUGCUUCAUGCAUCAUCGACAACGUAAUCUCUCUUCCAUUCGAAUAGCAGGACUUAUAUGAUACUCAUGUGGAAAAGUCAGAACAAACCACAAAGGAUUUGCUUCCUUUUAAAAAGGCCUAGCUGAUUGAAGGCAUCCAUGUUUCAUGAUAUUAGAAUAGUGUCAUUACCUUACAAUGACUUUAUUUUUUUUUAGACUCACCAUCUCAGAGACUUGUAGACAGAGGGACAAAAAUGGUUAUGCCUAUGUAACAGAGAUUCUUAAGCCAAAGUCCAUUUAUCCCAAAAUGGCUACAGAUGAUUUAUUGGGCAAGAAACUAGAGACAAAAAGCAGUGUAAGCAAGCCAGUUACCCGCACUGCAAACAGGAGAAAUGUUAGAUCCUGAACAGAAAUCGGCUAGCAGCCUGCUGAGGUAAUCUCUGCAUCAUCUGCUUCAAACUAAUACAUUGUAAUCCCCAGUAUUACAAGAGGAAGAUAAGACUUAAAAAAAAAAGAAAAAAGAAGAAGACAGAGAGGAUGCUGGAUCUCUGCUUCUUAUGGCAUUCACAGUGCUACAGUCUGCGUGCGUGUUUUGAUAGGAAUAAUGCAUAUCAGUCUGGUCACAAGCAAAAAAAAAAAAAAUCUAGAGCAGUGAAGAAGGAUCCAGGUAGCAGAAUGACUGGGUCAGCUGGAGACAGAGCUACGUUCCAGGACACGGCGUGGGGUGUGAUUGGAAAGGCAUACAGAGUCACUGGCAGGAGAUAAUAAUAGAUGCCCAAUAAGAACCUGGAGAAUCUCCAAAUAAGUCAAGGAGUUCCAACUGCUGAAACUUCCUUAGCCUGACGAAGGGUUUUUGAACCAUUAAGCUUGCUUAAUAACUAUUCUCCAACUAUUUGGGUUGGUCUAAUAAAAGAUAUCAAAUUCACCCAGGGAA
Alligator mississippiensis (American alligator) is the source of this 3201-nucleotide long non-coding RNA. RefSeq lists it as uncharacterized. NCBI's taxonomy places the organism in Eukaryota, Metazoa, Chordata, Crocodylia, Alligatoridae. The transcript is spliced from 2 exons. The record is from RefSeq and is a predicted model, not a curated record.